RNAcentral lists this long non-coding RNA (612 nucleotides) under Oryza brachyantha (malo sina). Its description in RNAcentral is "long non-coding RNA (OBRA_LNC000027)". The record is from RNAcentral. Lineage: Eukaryota; Viridiplantae; Streptophyta; Magnoliopsida; Poales; Poaceae.
GGUACACAUAUUAAUUCAGCUUUAUUAUUUUUGUAAUUUGGAGAAAAUGAAUGGGUAUCCCAUUAAGGCAUAGAAAAUCCAUCAACAACACUCAGGUUCGGAUCAUCAAAUCUAUCAGAAGAAUUCAGAAGAGCAAAAGCACAUGGGGCCAAGGCGGCCGAGAUCGCAGCCACAAGAAACAAACACACAAACCGACAUCAACCGACCAACCGUUAGCGAAGCGAUCAAGCGAACAAUCCAAUCCCUGCAGAUAGAUGUAUGUACGAGAUUGGUCACCGGAGAUAUCAACUCAACCGACGCCGCCCGAAUCAGAGAACACAUCCUCCCGCGCGGUGGUGGUCACGGCAACGAGGUCCACCGUCAGGUCGAGCGUUUCAGUGAGUUCCAGCAAGCCGUACAUUAGCUCGGUGAUGGCGAGGUCUUCCACCCACGGAGAGUGGUCGUCCCCUCCCAGCACCUCCAGGAUCUCGGCGGCGGCGCUCAUGUGGACGCGGGCGGUCUCCAGCCGGUCGUGCACACGCUUGGCGAUCUCGGAGCCCUUUUGGAGCAGGAAGUGGACGAGCCACACGCGGGAGUCGAAGUCGUCGACGGAGUGGAGCGGCGGGGGGGCCC